UGCCUUGCGGUCGGAGGCCGAGCAGUUGCCAUACCAGGCAGUGAUGCAACCAGUCAGGAUGCUCUCGAUGGUGCAGCUGUAUAACUUUUUGAGGAUCUGAGGACCCAGGCCAAAUCUUUUCAGUAUCCUGAGGGGGAAUAGUUGUUGUCUUGCCCUCUUCACGUGUUAUGACUAACUGGGGACACCAGGUGUGUUAUGACUAACUGGGGACACCAGGCGUGUUAUGACUAACUGGGGACACCAGGUGUGUUAUGACUAACUGGGGACACCAGGCGUGUUAUGACUAACUGGGGACACCAGGUGUGUUAUGACUAACUGGGGACACCAGGUGUGUUAUGACUAACUGGGGACACCAGGCGUGUUAUGACUAACUGGGGACACCAGGUGUGUUAUGACUAAUUGGGGACACCAGGCGUGUUAUGACUAAUUGGGGACACCAGGCGUGUUAUGACUAACUGGGG
RNAcentral lists this long non-coding RNA (461 nucleotides) under Salmo salar (Atlantic salmon). RNAcentral's name for it is "lncRNA (ENSSSAG00000085658.1)". Lineage: Eukaryota; Metazoa; Chordata; Actinopteri; Salmoniformes; Salmonidae. The record is from RNAcentral.